This is a long non-coding RNA of Symphalangus syndactylus (siamang), 3795 nucleotides long. RefSeq lists it as uncharacterized. The record is from RefSeq and is a predicted model, not a curated record. Lineage: Eukaryota; Metazoa; Chordata; Mammalia; Primates; Hylobatidae.
ACAAUAUUUACCAGCAAGGUAUUAAUAAUUAGAAAAUAAUAUACACUGCAAACUGGAGAAAGCUCAGAGCACCUUGGUUAACCCCAUGGGGUCCACAAGGUGCCAUGAGAACAGGGCAGUGAAAUCACCUCCUCCUCAUCUCCACUCUUUGGGGUUUCCACAAACUUUGCACUGCUGAGAUUUUUUUUUCCCAUUCAUUUUCAUUUCUCCCUCCUCUGCCACUUUCGCAAAGAUACUUAGAGAGUGGGGAUGGGGAAGAGGACUAUGCUAGGCCUUCAAGUCCAGUAGCUCUCAUCUUCCUAAGAUCCUGUGGGGAUCUUAAGAAGGGAAUAGCUUCCCUCAUUUGAUAAAUGAGGAAACUGAGGCUCAGAGAAGUCAAACUUGAAUGACCUGCUUGGCCACUAGGAUCUCCAAACGAUGACUUGGAGUCAUGUUGCUUAUGAAUAUGUCAUUUCAAAAAACAGGUCCCCAAUUCUCAGUCCAAGAGGAUGAGUCACUUACUUGUAGGUUUUGGACCUAUCCAGCCAGAUUCCUGAGAUCACAGCCCCAAGCAUUCCUGCAAUGACGAUCGUCAGGCCAAUUCUUCCAGCAUUCACUUCUUCCCCCUGGGGAAACCAUAGCCCCAAAGAUCACCCAGCGAUGGGACAAGACCCGGGACAGAGCACAGUCACCAUGGGGUGAAGGAACAAAGACAGAGUGCAGCCAGAAGUCUAGGGAAAAGCCAGCAACACUUGGACCCUCGAUUUCCUCCAAGGCCUUCAAUUAUCGCUGCACCUCAGUUCUGGGCAGUUGACUCAUCAGCUGGGAGAACCACUUGAAAAGCCACUACAAAUACAAUACCAUCAGCUGCAGGACAGUUACUCCUCCUUUUAGUGAAAUCUGGUUUGGACCAAAGAAGCAACGCUGGAAAUCAGUAAGUUUACCAGUGCAAUAGCAUUGGCAAUAGCACUGGCAAUGGCAGACUGGCAGUCUGGAGGCAUGCCAUGUCUUUAUUCUCAACUGCAUUAAAAGCUUUCACUUCCAUUCAGAACACUCCAAUGGGAAGUAAGUAUCAUUACUGUUUUCUAGUGGGGGUGGAGAGUAUUAAAGAGAUGAAGGAUGGGCAGCACAGAUGGAUGAAGGUGGUACACUCUGUAUCUGGCAGAGCUGACACCAAAACCCAGACCUCCCAUUUCUUAUGAUCCAACUCUGAACUUACGAGUCCAGCACUCAAGGCUCUUAACCCAAGACAUGUCCACCCAUGUCCAAUACGUGUGCCUGUGAAAUGCUGUUGCCUGCUUAAUUCCCAGCCACAUGCUCUUUAAAUGCAUAUAAUUCAGAGCUAAAUAUGAACACUACAUGUACAAUGUAAAAAGUAUGAACCAUUUUGUUCUUCAAAGUCCAAUCUGAAACUGCAAGGGGAUUAGGAGGACUGGGGUAAUUCUGGAAGAUUUCAAAGCAUCUAGUUGAAUCGAUAGAGGGCAUUUUAGAAAAUUGUUUUUGUUGGGAGGCCAAGGCGGGCACAUCACCUGAGGUCAGGAGUUCAAGACCAGCCUGGUCAACAUGGUGAAACCCUGUCUCUACUAAAAACACAAAAAUUCCCUGGGUGUGGUGGUGGGUACCUGUAAUCCCAGUUACUUGGGAGGCUGAGGCAGGAGAAUUGCUCAAACCUGGAAGGUGGAGAUUGCAGUGAGCCGAGAUCAUGCCACUGCACUCCAGCCUGGUGACAGAGUAAGACUCUGUUUAAAAAAAAAAAAAAAUUGUUUUUGUUUUUGUUUGUUUUAAUUUGGAACAAACACAGUAGGAAAAGAAAGCAAAGAUUAACAGUUGGAGUAAGUGCCUAUAGUUCUUGCCCUAUGGCCAAGAAGCUAAAACUCUAGAGCCUCAGUUUCCUCAUGUAUAAAAUGAAACAAAGGGCUUAUGUCAUGGGUUUGUUUUGAAAAUUAAAUGAGAUAAUGCAUGUAAAGCAAUUAACAUGAUUCCUCCAUCAAAAAAUUUUUCAAAUCUGUGAUUCAGUCUAAGAAUCAUUUUCUUUUUGGCAAAGAACCCCAUAUGGACAUCAUAUUCUCCAGAGUUUCCUUUCAGCAUUUUCAGCCAGCCUCUUGUUCACCCCAAUUGUUAUCCCCACUGCAGGCAGCUACAAUGUUAAGCAGUGCCAUUGAUCGUUUUCAACAAAUGCCCUGGCAAUAGGGCUUUUCCCAUGAGCAAACUCCAAGUCAGGUUAAAUAACAACAUGUCCUAUGAAUAGGGCUUUUCCGGGGACCUGCUAGGUAGGUCAAAUAGUAAUUCUCAGGGGUGGAGCUCCAAAUCGACUUUGCUCCCUCCAAUGGCUAUGAGACAGUUGGUUUUCACAGCUCCAUGGCUGUGAGGCUGCUGGAUGUCACAGCCCCAUGGCUGCAAGGCUGUAGUAGUCAAGGCUACUUGCAGAGCCUGGAAGAAGGGGCUUGGAAUAGGGCAAGUGAAAACACAAGGCCCACUGUUCUUACUGAUAUUUAGCCAUUUCUCUUGAAUAAAUGCUGCUUGGAUUGUUGCAAGCCAUUUGUUAAAAGUUCUGAAAAAAUUCAUUUUUAUAUUUUUUGUCAUUGUUCUUGUUUCUAUAGAGGAGCGGAUUUUCUAAGGUCCUUACUCCACCAUUCAAGAAGUGCUUUCCUAUUUAUUUCCUGGGUUAUCAUUUAAUCAAAUAGAUAAGGAAAAGUGUCCAGAAGUACAGGAUUAAAACUACUCUGUCAGAUUAAAGACCAUAUAAGCAACCAGCCAUGUGAGAGGAAGGAGGAGUAGCUUUGCUCCCCACAGCAUGGCCUAGGCUUGAGCCCCUCGAUGACCAGGAGCAACAAUGUUUCUGGUAUAUUUUGUCUCUGUUUCUUGUUCUCAUGAGUCAGUGACCUGGCCCUAACACCAACAACCUCCAGCACUGAGGACCACAGCCUUCGGAAUGGGACCAUUGCCCAGUUAUCACCACUGUCACCAUUUUCAGCCAUAGAAAAUAUUUAUGAAGCACUCAUCUGCCCUAGAAUCCCAGAUGAAUGGGGAGACAUACUCAGAGAAUUGAGAAACCUGAGGAAAUGAGGAACAGAGGACCAAGAUCUUGAAGACGAACCUGGUCAUCUACAGCUAUUCCAGAUGAAAGGUCACCUAAUUUCUAUGUAUGCCUGAAAAACAGGAUUGCCCCUCUACCAGGAUGAAGCCACCUCUUAUCUAGUGUUUCAGCAGAUAAACAUUUUAGUUGAGAUAAAAUGUAUUGAUGAGCCUAAAAUGAAACUCUGGCACAAUUCUAGGAAGGAACAUCAGCAAUUACAGAACAGGCAUUAAGAAUGCAAAUUUUGGCUGGGUGCGGUGGCUCAUGUCUGUAAUCCCAGCACUUUGGGAGGCCGAGGUGGGUGGAUCACCUGAGGCCAGGAGUUUGAGACCAGCCUGGCCAACAUGACAAAACCCCGGCUCUACUAAAAAUACAAAAAUUAGCCAGGCAUGGUGGCAUAUGCCUGUAAUCGCAGCUACUCGGGAGGCUGAGGCAGAAGAAUUGCUUGAGCCAGGGAGGCGGAGGAUGCAGUGAGCCAAGAUCGCACCACUGCACUCCAGCAUGGGCAAAAAGAGGAAAACUCUGUCUCAAAAAAAAAAAAAAAAAAGAAAAAGGAAAAAGAAUGAGACUUUGGAGUUAGACAAACUUGUAUUUGAACUCUGGCUCUGCCACUUGAAAGUUGUGUGACCUUGGGCUAGUUAUUUGGCCACUUUGAGUUUAGUUUCCUCAUCUGUUAAAUAGGGAUAAUUUUAGUACCAACAUCACAUAGGUGUACUGGAAGUUAAAUAAAAUCAGAUAUG